Prosopis cineraria is the source of this 1348-nucleotide long non-coding RNA. RefSeq lists it as uncharacterized. The transcript is spliced from 7 exons. The record is from RefSeq and is a predicted model, not a curated record. Lineage: Eukaryota; Viridiplantae; Streptophyta; Magnoliopsida; Fabales; Fabaceae.
UCCGACGACACUCUCGAGCUCAGCCACUUUUCGUAACCAACUUCUCGACCUCUUCCCCCUUUCUCCCUAAGUCUGCAACCAUCGGCCAUCGAAUCUCCAUCAUCUCCUUCUUCAACCUCGUCUGUCCUUGCUUUGUCGCUUGACAAAUGGCUGCUUCCAACCUUAAGCCUUCAGCAAAAGAUCUUCCUUACUGGUUUUCCCAAGUGUGUUCAAUCUGUUGACCUUCUGGUGUUUGACGCUCAGAGUGUCUGCUUGAUUGCCUCGACCUUUUCAAUGAAUGUGCGACUCUAGAGAUUGCUAACAGAGUGGAAGCCUCAAGAUGGGUGUGCCAUCGUAGGGCUCAUUCGAGACCCACACCUAAUCCUAGCCGCUUAACAGCAAAAUCAGCCUAGGAAAUGUUGAGAGAUUUCAGGCUGAUGGAGACGAGAGAAUUGCUAGCAGAAAGAGCUGAGAACUUCCUGAUUUCCUUGAAGCAGAGGUUCUUAGGUUUAACUCAAAUUACCCUAGGCACCAGCAAGAUCCAAUGCAAAAAGGAAAGAAAGGAAGAUGAUGGAGUAACUUUGAUGGGAAAGAAGAAUGGGAUGUGAAGUUUCUUUAUUUGACUUCGGAGAUUGGCACGAAGGAAGAAGAAAAUGUUAAGGCUUAUCACUUUUAAGUUGAGGAGUAGAUUCACCAGGCUUAUUGCUAGAAGGUAAACCGUAUUUGCUGGUCAAACAUCUAGAGGUCCUACCAACUGUCAUGCUGCUACAGGCUAUCAGUGAAAAAGUUCAAUUGAUCAGCUUCAUAGGUUGAAAAUGGGGCAGCAUUUGCUUCAGUUGAUUAAAAGCCACUGAAAGAAGCAAGCUGUUAUUCCUUAAUAUUGUUAAAGCACAGACCAUGACAGCACCGUCCAUGAGACAAGGUUUCUUGAGGUUGACAACAUGAGCAAUCUGGUUUCAUAGGUUGAUUAAAAGGGGCAGCAUUUGCUUCAGUUGAUUAAAGCCACUGAAAGAAGCAAGCUGUUAUUCCUUAAAUUUGUUAAAACACAGACCAUGACAGCACCUUCCACGAGAAAAGGUUUCUUUGAAGUUGACAACAUGAACGAUCUGGUUUCAAAAUAUCAACAGCAUCAAGAUGCCGUUGUUGAUGGAGUAGAGUAUGAAGGCGAAGAACAUAUUGACAUGAAUAUGACAUCAAUGGAUGGAGCUGUCUCCAUCUUAAUCAUUCUUUCUUGUGAGCUCUAAUAUCUUCUAUUGAAUUUGUUUUAUCGAUUUAGAUAUACAUAUAAUCUUUUGAUUAAUAUAUAUUGUUAUACGAUUCAUUUUCUGAAGUUUGUGGUAAGUCGUGUAUUUUAAAUAUGAUGUGAUCU